This 506-nucleotide ribosomal RNA is filed under the name uncultured bacterium. RNAcentral describes it as "partial 16S ribosomal RNA". It matches the Rfam family "Bacterial small subunit ribosomal RNA", at positions 29 to 523 of the family's 1533-position model. The record is from RNAcentral.
AGUGAACGCUGGCGGUAGGCCUAACACAUGCAAGUCGAACGGCAGCACAGGAGAGCUUGCUCUCUGGGUGGCGAGUGGCGGACGGGUGAGGAAUACAUCGGAAUCUACUCUGUCGUGGGGGAUAACGUAGGGAAACUUACGCUAAUACCGCACACGACCUACGGGUGAAAGCAGGGGACCUUCGGGCCUUGCGCGAUUGAAUGAGCCGAUGUCGGAUUAGCUAGUUGGCGGGGUAAAGGCCCACCAAGGCGACGAUCCGUAGCUGGUCUGAGAGGAGGAUCAGCCACACUGGAGCUGAGACACGGUCAAGACUCCUACGGGAGGCAGCAGUGGGGAAUAUUGGACAAUGGGCGCAAGCCUGAUCCAGCCAUACCGCGUGGGUGAAGAAGGCCUUCGGGUUGUAAAGCCCUUUUGUUGGGAAAGAAAUCCAGCUGGCUAAUACCCGGUUGGGAUGACGGUACCCAAAGAAUAAGCACCGGCUAACUUCGUGCCAGCCGCCGCCGUAA